GUUUAAUAUUGCAUUACUCAUAACACAAAAAAUUAUAAUUUCCUUGAAAAUGUGUUUGUUAAAGGUGCUUUUCCUCUACCUCUUGGAACAGUGGGAUUGAGAAAUGUUGGGAAUUUAGCCAUAUAUAUUUAAUCACCCCAAAAUUCUAACCGUGCCACUUGACAAGCCGUUCUAUUAAAGAAUGCAGUGAGUGUUUAAGGAAAAUAACCUGAAAUUUGGACACAGUUUAGUAAUGGUCUGAAGCCCAACUAGGCGUAGAGGCUAAUAUUAAUUGCUACACAAGCAUAGAGAAUUGUCCUUUGUGAUGGAUUUGAGUGAGAAAUUACCCUUGUCCCAACCUGGGAAUUGCUGUUUGCCUUUCACUCCCUGACAACUAGAAGAUGUGCCAGUUUAGUCCUAAUCCCUCAUUUCUGUCUCAUCCUUCAGGGCCCAGCGUCACAUCCAGCUCUGAUCAUGAACAAAUACACUUUGACUUGGACAUGACCUGAUAUUCAAACUAGCAGUAGAUGGAAAAGAAGACAAACAGUUUUUUCAUGAGUUUCAAACACACCUUAAGCAGCUCCGGGACCUUCCAUCAAGAUAACUUGAUAAACCUUGUACGUUUACCUACCUUGACAGUUGUUCAGAUGUCAUGCUAUUUUGGUUUUAGAUUAUUUAAACUAAUGCCUGCUGUCCCACAAGAUACAGGUGAUUGCAAAGGCAGAAAGGUCACCUAAUGAAGCCUGAACUGACCUAGGAAUAUGGGCUUGGCUCCAUUCCCUGCAGUAAAACUUCAGUGCAGAAGAUCAAAUGUGAGAUUCACCUACCUCUGAGCACAGACGUGUUCCAGGACAAAGUUUGGCAUGCAGGCCCUUCUACUCAGGCAGAACAGUACACGACAAAUGUAUCACUGCACAGUGACAGCAGCAUGCCACAAGAUGCAGGAGACAUUGUGCUCACAGACUCUCGUCCUGG
RNAcentral lists this long non-coding RNA (954 nucleotides) under Gallus gallus (chicken). Its description in RNAcentral is "long non-coding RNA NONGGAT009354". The record is from RNAcentral. Lineage: Eukaryota; Metazoa; Chordata; Aves; Galliformes; Phasianidae.